AUGCCCCUCCCACCUCCCCCUGUCGGCGGCCCCGGUGGCGCCUCUGCCUUUGCCCGUCCCACGCUGCAAGGAAGCCCCCGACACUUCGCACCGCCGGAUCCAGAUUCAACACUGGCGGGGCAUGGUGGAUCUGGAGCCGCUGCCUCCGAGGAGUUCGUGCCCGACUCGCAGCCAGGCGCGUCGGCUCCGGGUCUGGCCCUAGCUGGGUCGGGGCAUGGCGCCGCCGCCGCCUCAUCCCCGCGCAUUCAAGUGCGGGCGGGCGCUGGCAUUAACUGUGGAGUUGCGGGGCAGCUCGCUUCCUCCUUCCUCUCUGCUUCUGGCGUUCCUUCAAUGACGGGCGCGGGGCGCGAGGCGGAGGUGACCGGCGGCUGGCACAUCGUCACAUCGCGUAAUGGCCCGCGCCGCCCGGCUUUGGCCGCUCCUGCAUUCAAGCCGGCGCCCAUCCCUCGCUGGCUUCAGGGGCGCUGCUGUCGGUGCCUCCACCGCGGGCACAGGGCUGAGAGUUGCCGUGACCCGAUCCGCUGCUCCCGUUGUCUACAAAAUGGGCACAAAUCGCGCGGCUGCAAGAACAACUGGAAGCCUCUGAGCUCUCUCGACAGUCUCCGUGUGCCCCCACCACCGCUGCCUCGCCCCUCUGCUUCUCUUGCAAACCGUGUGGCUCCGCCCCGUCUGGGCCGGGGCUGGGAGACCUCUGCUCAGCGCCCCCUGCUGCAGUCCAACGCAACGGCUGCCGUGAUGCAGCGCAUGGGCGACGCCGCGCUAAGGCCAGAGGAGGACUUCGUCGUCGUUCUGGCGACACCUGAGAUGCAGGCGGAGGCAGCCAUCCUCGCCUCCAACUGUGCUAUGGCCUGGCUGGAGGGGGCCAGGCAGGACAUCCCCUGCCACCAGGUGGCUGCCGAGCUCGCGACGGCCCUGGGCGCGAGACCGGCCGACGUCGAAGUUGUCAAGCACUACCCCGAGCAAUUUUUGGUGUGCUUCAUGCAUCAACACCACUGCGUCGAUGCGUGUCUCGUGGUGAUCUUCGUGGCAAUGGCCACCGCAUCUUCGUGCGUGAGUGGAGGCUCAAGGCUCAUGCAGACAACGAAGACCAACUCCAUCAUGUCCGUCUCUGCUUGGAAGGCGUCCCGCUGCACGGCUGGAACCACUCCAUCGCCACCUUCCUCAUCGGCCGAGGUUGCUCCCUCGACUACAUCGAGCCUCGAUCGCUCCGCAAAGAGGACACAAGGGACAUGGCGCUUUGGGCUUGGACGUCCAACCCCAGUGCCAUCCCCAAGGUCAAAUGGCUCACUCUCCCGGCCCGUGGUCACCGCCGCAGCGGACGCCGAGGUCUCCGUCACCGCGUGCUCAUCCACCUCGACCUCCACGAGGACCACUCCAAGGCCGGGGACGACGACGACAACCCGCCGCCACCGGACGUCCAUGAGUUCACUUGGUACAGGAAGAAGGUGGACGGCACGUACACGCCAAGGGAGCGCGGGCCUACCCAGGGAUGUGCAGAACACCGCGGUGGCAGGCGUGAAGACGAGGGCGACCGUGACGGCAGGCGUGGCCGUGACGAUGGUCGCGCACGGGAAGGCUGGGGUGCCAGGGUCCGGCGCUCGCUCUCCCGAAACGCUCGGGACCGGCAUCAAGGGGAGGUCCAGAACCGUUCAAGGGACCGCUCCGGUGGCCGCCGGCACGAUGGCAACAGCCUGGCUGCUUCGCCCGCACCUAUGGAGGGACCUGCUGCUGCUCUGGUUCUUAGGGGAUCGGGCUCGGCCAGUGAUGCGCCUGCUCGCGCCCUCGAGCUGGUGGUCGUCCGUGGGCGCAGCCCGACGUGUCCGACAUCGCCACGCUCCUCCAGGCGCCGCUCGCAAGAUGAAAGGACCCCCCGGCGUCCCCUCCGCUCUCUCCGACAACCGUUCUGCCGCCAAGCCCAGUCUCCAAACGCGCUGA
RNAcentral lists this ribosomal RNA (1935 nucleotides) under Triticum aestivum (bread wheat). RNAcentral describes it as "partial small subunit ribosomal RNA". Lineage: Eukaryota; Viridiplantae; Streptophyta; Magnoliopsida; Poales; Poaceae. The record is from RNAcentral.